This 465-nucleotide ribosomal RNA is filed under the name uncultured bacterium. RNAcentral's name for it is "partial 16S ribosomal RNA". It matches the Rfam family "Bacterial small subunit ribosomal RNA", at positions 28 to 507 of the family's 1533-position model. The record is from RNAcentral.
GACGAACGCUGGCGGCGUGCUUAACACAUGCAAGUCGAACGGAAAGGCCCUGCUUGCAGGGUACUCGAGUGGCGAACGGGUGAGUAACACGUGGGUGAUCUGCCCUGCACUUCGGGAUAAGCCUGGGAAACUGGGUCUAAUACCGGAUAGGAGCCAUUUUUAGUGUGAUGGUUGGAAAGUUUUUUCGGUGUAGGAUGAGCUCGCGGCCUAUCAGCUUGUUGGUGGGGUAAUGGCCUACCAAGGCGGCGACGGGUAGCCGGCCUGAGAGGGUGGACGGCCACAUUGGGACUGAGAUACGGCCCAGACUCCUACGGGAGGCAGCAGUGGGGAAGAUUGCACAAUGGGCGCAAGCCUGAUGCAGCGACGCCGCGUGGGGGAGGACGGCCUUCGGGUUGUAAACGCCUUUCGCUAGGGACGAAGCUUUUUGUGACGGUACCUAGAGAAGAAGCACCGGCUAACUACGUG